This 253-nucleotide ribosomal RNA is filed under the name uncultured bacterium. Its description in RNAcentral is "partial 16S ribosomal RNA". It matches the Rfam family "Bacterial small subunit ribosomal RNA", at positions 524 to 776 of the family's 1533-position model. The record is from RNAcentral.
UACGAAGGGUGCAAGCGUUACUCGGAAUUACUGGGCGUAAAGCGUGCGUAGGUGGUUCGUUAAGUCUGUCGUGAAAGCCCCGGGCUCAACCUGGGAAUGGCGAUGGAUACUGGCGAGCUAGAGUGCGGUAGAGGAGAGUGGAAUUCCCGGUGUAGCAGUGAAAUGCGUAGAUAUCAGGAGGAACACCGAUGGCGAAGGCAGGUCUCUGGGCUGACACUGACGCUCAUGCACGAAAGCGUGGGGAGCAAACAGG